UACGUAGGCAGCGAGCGUUGUUCGGAGUUACUGGGCGUAAAGGGUGUGUAGGCGGUUGUUUAAGUUUGGGGUGAAAUCUCCCGGCUCAACUGGGAGGGUGCGCCGAAUACUGAAUGACUUGGAGUGCGGGAGAGGAGAGUGGAAUUCCUGGUGUAGCGGUGAAAUGCGUAGAUAUCAGGAGGAACACCGGUGGUGUAGACGGCUCUCUGGACCGUAACUGACGCUGAGACACGAAAGCGUGGGUAGCAAACAGG
Molecule: ribosomal RNA, 254 nt
Filed under: uncultured bacterium
Lineage: Bacteria
Description: partial 16S ribosomal RNA
Rfam family: Bacterial small subunit ribosomal RNA
Source: RNAcentral